RNAcentral lists this long non-coding RNA (1261 nucleotides) under Olea europaea subsp. europaea. Lineage: Eukaryota; Viridiplantae; Streptophyta; Magnoliopsida; Lamiales; Oleaceae. The record is from RNAcentral.
UUUCAUAGGACACAAUUCAUUGAUCGGUCACAAAAUCAAAAUUUUUAUUGGUGACGACUCAUUCGUUGGUCACAAAUAAAAAAUUUCACAAGUCCCAAUUCAUUGAUCUGUCACAAAAUCAAAAUUUUUAUUAGGUACAACUCAUACGUCGAUCACAAAUAAAAUUUUUUAUAGGUCACAAUUCACUGAUCGAUCACAAAAUCAAAAUUUUUAUUGGUCACAAAUUAUCAAAAUAAUUGAUCACAAUUAAUCUUACAGUCACAACUUAAUAAAUUAUGAGUCGCAAUUACAUAUUUUUAUGUCACAAGUUAUUUAUUUGACACAAAUUAACCAAUUUAUUGGUCACGAACACCCCGAUGUGACGAUGACCCAUGCCAUCUAUCCCCGACCACUGCAUCACGACCACCACGUACUGCAACCACCUCUAUGGCAACCACCACACACCACAUCAAAAUAAAAUCACCGCCAUAGUAUACACACCACCACCACACAGCAAACUCCGAAACCAUUGUAUCAUCCCCGUCAGAUCGCCGGUGUCUUACGUGUGACCACCACUAUCACCACCCCCACCACAAAACCACCUCAAAAAUAACCACAAAAAUACAACAACUUGACUUCACCGCCUUCGCCGCCACUGAUGCCGCCUCCGCACCACAACCUCUGCCUGUUUCAACAAUAACCAACACCACCACCUGAAAUCGACCAUCUACUUCACCUCUACCACACCACAUCCAUCAACAUCAACUCAAAGAUGCAAACUAAAAUAGAGACAACAGGUCGAUGCCUCGCAACGGAUGAAUCACCGCGAAUGAAACAAAAAUUAGAUCCAAGAGAAAAACACCAGUGACCGUCGGAGCUGGAGCCGUCGUGUGCAGGAGCUGCGGUACGCCCAAACCAACAGCGAUGAAGCCGGUCGUGUGUAACUGCCGUUCGAGCGCGGCGAUGCUGCUGCCACUUCCAGCGUCGUUGCGCUGGUCGUGUGCAGUUGCCCCCGCCUUUCUUCUACUUGUCGCUGGAGCCGCCGAAGAGAGGGAAGUGGAGAUGAUGGUUGUGUGAUUUGGGAAUUUGGGAUUUUUAGGGCCAAGUUGGUUAUUUUAGAGAGAGAGAAGAUUAGAGAAUAAAUUAGUAUUAAACAUUUGGAUUAGUUUCUGAUUUUUGUAUAGAUAAAUUUUGGGUUAAUCUGAUUUUUGAAUUUGAAUUUUUAAACAUCUGGUGGGCUGUAAUUUCCUCAUGUAUGAAUGAACAUUUUUGCGGAUUGUGU